GACGAUCGCUGGCGGCGUGCUUAACACAUGCAAGUCGAACGGAAAGGCCCUGCUUUUGUGGGGUGCUCGAGUGGCGAACGGGUGAGUAACACGUGAGUAACCUGCCCUUGACUUUGGGAUAACUUCAGGAAACUGGGGCUAAUACCGGAUAGGAGCUCCUGCUGCAUGGUGGGGGUUGGAAAGUUUCGGCGGUUGGGGAUGGACUCGCGGCUUAUCAGCUUGUUGGUGGGGUAGUGGCUUACCAAGGCUUUGACGGGUAGCCGGCCUGAGCGGUUGACCGGCAACAUUGGGACUGAGAUACGGCCCAGACUCCUACGGGAGGCAGCAGUGGGGAAUAUUGCACAAUGGGCGGAAGCCUGAUGCAGCAACGCCGCGUGCGGGAUGACGGCCUUCGGGUUGUAAACCGCUUUAGCCUGUGACGAAGCGUGAGUGACGGUAAUGGGUAAAGAAGCACCGGCUAACUACGUG
RNAcentral lists this ribosomal RNA (468 nucleotides) under uncultured bacterium. Its description in RNAcentral is "partial 16S ribosomal RNA". It matches the Rfam family "Bacterial small subunit ribosomal RNA", at positions 28 to 507 of the family's 1533-position model. The record is from RNAcentral.